Molecule: ribosomal RNA, 502 nt
Filed under: uncultured bacterium
Lineage: Bacteria
Description: bacterial SSU rRNA
Rfam family: Bacterial small subunit ribosomal RNA
Source: RNAcentral
AGAGUUUGAUCCUGGCUCAGAUUGAACGCUGGCGGCAUGCUUUACACAUGCAAGUCGAACGGCAGCACGGGGCAACCUGGUGGCGAGUGGCGAACGGGUGAGUAAUACAUCGGAACGUGCCCAAUCGUGGGGGAUAACGUAGCGAAAGUUACGCUAAUACCGCAUACGAUCUACGGAUGAAAGCGGGGGAUCGCAAGACCUCGCGCGAAUGGAGCGGCCGAUGUCAGAUUAGGUAGUUGGUGGGGUAAAGGCUCACCAAGCCAACGAUCUGUAGCUGGUCUGAGAGGAUGAUCCGCCACACUGGAACUGAGACACGGUCCAGACUCCUACGGGAGGCAGCAGUGGGGAAUUUUGGACAAUGGGGGCAACCCUGAUCCAGCCAUGCCGCGUGAGUGAAGAAGGCCUUCGGGUUGUAAAGCUCUUUCGGCCGGGAAGAAAUCGCAUGGGCCAAUACCUUGUGUGGAUGACGGUACCGGAAUAAGAAGCACCGGCUAACUACGUG